This 769-nucleotide ribosomal RNA is filed under the name uncultured Pseudoalteromonadaceae bacterium. RNAcentral's name for it is "bacterial SSU rRNA". It matches the Rfam family "Bacterial small subunit ribosomal RNA", at positions 28 to 776 of the family's 1533-position model. The record is from RNAcentral. Lineage: Bacteria; Pseudomonadati; Pseudomonadota; Gammaproteobacteria; Alteromonadales; Pseudoalteromonadaceae.
AUUGAACGCUGGCGGCAGGCCUAACACAUGCAAGUCGAGCGGAAACGAGUUAUCUGAACCUUCGGGGAAUGAUAACGGCGUCGAGCGGCGGACGGGUGAGUAAUGCCUAGGAAAUUGCCCUGAUGUGGGGGAUAACCAUUGGAAACGAUGGCCAAUACCGCAUGAUGCCUACGGGCCAAAGAGGGGGACCUUCGGGCCUCUCGCGUCAGGAUAUGCCUAGGUGGGAUUAGCUAGUUGGUGAGGUAAGGGCUCACCAAGGCAACGAUCCCUAGCUGGUCUGAGAGGAUGAUCAGCCACACUGGAACUGAGACACGGUCCAGACUCCUACGGGAGGCAGCAGUGGGGAAUAUUGCACAAUGGGCGCAAGCCUGAUGCAGCCAUGCCGCGUGUAUGAAGAAGGCCUUCGGGUUGUAAAGUACUUUCAGCAGUGAGGAAGGCGGGUACGUUAAUAGCGUGCUCGUUUGACGUUAGCUGCAGAAGAAGCACCGGCUAACUCCGUGCCAGCAGCCGCGGUAAUACGGAGGGUGCGAGCGUUAAUCGGAAUUACUGGGCGUAAAGCGCAUGCAGGUGGUUUGUUAAGUCAGAUGUGAAAGCCCGGGGCUCAACCUCGGAAUAGCAUUUGAAACUGGCAGACUAGAGUACUGUAGAGGGGGGUAGAAUUUCAGGUGUAGCGGUGAAAUGCGUAGAGAUCUGAAGGAAUACCGGUGGCGAAGGCGGCCCCCUGGACAGAUACUGACACUCAGAUGUGAAAGCGUGGGGAGCAAACAGG